This 119-nucleotide non-coding RNA is filed under the name Noviluteimonas dokdonensis. Its description in RNAcentral is "Lysobacter dokdonensis SAM-I sequence". It matches the Rfam family "SAM riboswitch aptamer (S box leader)". From Rfam's summary of the family: The SAM riboswitch is found upstream of a number of genes which code for proteins involved in methionine or cysteine biosynthesis in Gram-positive bacteria. The SAM riboswitch acts at the level of transcription termination control. RNAcentral also lists the same sequence under 1 other name. The record is from RNAcentral. Lineage: Bacteria; Pseudomonadati; Pseudomonadota; Gammaproteobacteria; Lysobacterales; Lysobacteraceae.
CAUCCAUCGAGACCGGCUGAGGGACAGGCCCGCAGACGCCGGGGCAACCGCGACAUCGCUCACGCGAUGGCGUUGGUGCCAAAUCCUGCGGGGGCCCUGCGCCCACCGGCAGAUGGAUC